UGGGGAAUAUUGCACAAUGGGCGAAAGCCUGAUGCAGCGACGCCGCGUGAGGGAAGAAGGUCUUCGGAUUGUAAACCUUUGUCUUUGGGGAAGAAAAAAGACGGUACCCAAGGAGGAAGCCACGGCUAACUACGUGCCAGCAGCCGCGGUAAUACGUAGGUGGCAAGCGUUGUCCGGAAUUACUGGGUGUAAAGGGAGCGUAGGCGGGCAGACAAGUCAGAUGUGAAAGGCGGGGGCUCAACCCCCGAGCUGCAUUUGAAACUGUAGGUCUUGAGUGAAGUAGAGGCAAGCGGAAUUCCUAGUGUAGCGGUGAAAUGCGUAGAUAUUAGGAGGAACACCGGUGGCGAAGGCGGCUUGCUGGGCUUUUACUGACGCUGAGGCUCGAAAGCAUGGGGAGCAAACA
This is a ribosomal RNA of 403 nucleotides. It matches the Rfam family "Bacterial small subunit ribosomal RNA", at positions 355 to 774 of the family's 1533-position model.